AUACGGAGGGUGCAAGCGUUACUCGGAAUCACUGAGCGUAAAGCGCGCGCAGGCGGCUUGAUAAGUUGGAUGUGAAAGCCUACGGCUCAACCGUAGAACUGCAUCCAAAACUGUCAAGCUAGAGUCUGGGAGGGGAAGAUGGAAUUAGUUGUGUAGGGGUAAAAUCCGUAGAGAUAACUAGGAAUACCAAAAGCGAAGGCGAUCUUCUGGAACAGUACUGACGCUGAGGCGCGAAAGCGUGGGGAGCAACCAGGAUUAGAAACCCCAGUAGUCC
RNAcentral lists this ribosomal RNA (274 nucleotides) under uncultured bacterium. Its description in RNAcentral is "partial 16S ribosomal RNA". It matches the Rfam family "Bacterial small subunit ribosomal RNA", at positions 523 to 796 of the family's 1533-position model. The record is from RNAcentral.